This 216-nucleotide ribosomal RNA is filed under the name Nocardia cyriacigeorgica. Its description in RNAcentral is "partial 16S ribosomal RNA". It matches the Rfam family "Bacterial small subunit ribosomal RNA", at positions 1322 to 1533 of the family's 1533-position model. Lineage: Bacteria; Bacillati; Actinomycetota; Actinomycetes; Mycobacteriales; Nocardiaceae. The record is from RNAcentral.
GAAGUUGGAGUCGCUAGUAAUCGCAGAUCAGCAACGCUGCGGUGAAUACGUUCCCGGGCCUUGUACGCACCGCCCGUCACGUCAUGAAAGUCGGUAACACCCGAAGCCGGUGGCCUAACCCCUUGUGGGAGGGAGCCGUCGAAGGUGGGAUCGGCGAUUGGGACGAAGUCGUAACAAGGUAGCCGUACCGGAAGGUGCGGCUGGAUCACCUCCUUU